AGGAUAAACGCUGGCGGCGUGCCUAACACAUGCAAGUCGAACGCACUCAGCAAUGAGUGAGUGGCGGACGGGUGAGUAGCACGUGGGUAAUCUGCCUUUCGGUGAGGAAUACCGGCGAGAAAUCGCCGACAAUACCGCAUAUCCUUGGGAAACCAAGGAAAGUCGCAAGACGCCGGAGGAGGAGCCUGCGCCCGAUUAGCUAGUUGGUGGAGUAAUGGUCUACCAAGGCGACGAUCGGUAGCUGGUCUGAGAGGAUGAUCAGCCACACUGGGAUUGAGAACGGCCCAGACUCCUACGGGGGCAGCAGUGAGGAAUUUUCGUCAAUGGGGGCAACCCUGAACGAGCAACGCCGCGUGCAGGAUGGACACUUUUCGGAGCGUAAACUGCUUUUCUCGGGACGAGUAAGGACGGUACCCGAGGAAUCAGCCCGGCUAACUACGUGCCAGCAGCCGC
RNAcentral lists this ribosomal RNA (453 nucleotides) under uncultured bacterium. RNAcentral describes it as "SSU rRNA". It matches the Rfam family "Bacterial small subunit ribosomal RNA", at positions 26 to 518 of the family's 1533-position model. The record is from RNAcentral.